Molecule: ribosomal RNA, 433 nt
Filed under: uncultured bacterium
Lineage: Bacteria
Description: partial 16S ribosomal RNA
Rfam family: Bacterial small subunit ribosomal RNA
Source: RNAcentral
AACGAACGCUGGCGGCAUGCCUAACACAUGCAAGUCGAACGAGACCUUCGGGUCUAGUGGCGCACGGGUGCGUAACGCGUGGGAACCUGCCCUUAGGUUCGGAAUAACUCUCCGAAAGGGGUGCUAAUACCGGAUAAUGUCUUCGGACCAAAGAUUUAUCGCCUUUGGAUGGGCCCGCGUUGGAUUAGCUAGUUGGUAGGGUAAAAGCCUACCAAGGAGACGAUCCAUAGCUGGUCUGAGAGGAUGCUCACCCACACUGGGACUGAGACACGGCCCAGACUCCUACGGGAGGCAGCAGUGGAGAAUAUUGGACAAUGGGCGAAAGCAUGAUCCAGCAAUGCCGCGUGAGUGAUGAAGGCCUUAGGGUUGUAAAGCUCUUUUACCCGGGAUGAUAAUGACGGUACCGGGAGAAUAAGCUCCGGCUAACUCCGUG